AACGCGAAGACAGUUCCGUACUCUUGACAUCCAGGGAAUUUAGCAGAGAUGCUUUGGUGCCUUCGGGAACUGUGAGACAGGUGCUGCAUGGCCGUCGUCAGCUCGUGUUGUGAAAUGUUGGGUUAAGUCCCGCAACGAGCGCAACCCUUAUCCUUUGUUGCCAGCGAUUCGGUCGGGAACUCAAAGGAGACUGCCAGUGAUAAACUGGAGGAAGGUGGGGAUGACGUCAAGUCAUCAUGGCCCUUACGAGUAGGGCUACACACGUGCUACAAUGGCAUAUACAAAGAGAAGCGACCUCGCGAGAGCAAGCGGACCUCAUAAAGUAUGUCGUAGUCCGGAUUGGAGUCUGCAACUCGACUCCAUGAAGUCGGAAUCGCUAGUAAUCGUGGAUCAGAAGCCACGGGAAUACGU
RNAcentral lists this ribosomal RNA (411 nucleotides) under Klebsiella sp. VC16. RNAcentral describes it as "bacterial SSU rRNA". It matches the Rfam family "Bacterial small subunit ribosomal RNA", at positions 958 to 1371 of the family's 1533-position model. Lineage: Bacteria; Pseudomonadati; Pseudomonadota; Gammaproteobacteria; Enterobacterales; Enterobacteriaceae. The record is from RNAcentral.